Molecule: ribosomal RNA, 1358 nt
Filed under: uncultured bacterium
Lineage: Bacteria
Description: bacterial SSU rRNA
Rfam family: Bacterial small subunit ribosomal RNA
Source: RNAcentral
GAUGAACGCUAGCUACAGGCUUAACACAUGCAAGUCGAGGGGCAGCAUUUCAGUUUGCUUGCAAACUGGAGAUGGCGACCGGCGCACGGGUGAGUAACACGUAUCCAACCUGCCGAUAACUCGGGGAUAGCCUUUCGAAAGAAAGAUUAAUACCCGAUGGUAUAAUCAGACCGCAUGGUCUUGUUAUUAAAGAAUUUCGGUUAUCGAUGGGGAUGCGUUCCAUUAGGCAGUUGGUGAGGUAACGGCUCACCAAACCUUCGAUGGAUAGGGGUUCUGAGAGGAAGGUCCCCCACAUUGGAACUGAGACACGGUCCAAACUCCUACGGGAGGCAGCAGUGAGGAAUAUUGGUCAAUGGGCGCAGGCCUGAACCAGCCAAGUAGCGUGAAGGAUGACUGCCCUAUGGGUUGUAAACUUCUUUUAUAUGGGAAUAAAGUUUUCCACGUGUGGAAUUUUGUAUGUACCAUAUGAAUAAGGAUCGGCUAACUCCGUGCCAGCAGCCGCGGUAAUACGGAGGAUCCGAGCGUUAUCCGGAUUUAUUGGGUUUAAAGGGAGCGUAGGUGGACAGUUAAGUCAGUUGUGAAAGUUUGCGGCUCAACCGUAAAAUUGCAGUUGAUACUGGCUGUCUUGAGUACAGUAGAGGUGGGCGGAAUUCGUGGUGUAGCGGUGAAAUGCUUAGAUAUCACGAAGAACUCCGAUUGCGAAGGCAGCUCACUGGACUGCAACUGACACUGAUGCUCGAAAGUGUGGGUAUCAAACAGGAUUAGAUACCCUGGUAGUCCACACAGUAAACGAUGAAUACUCGCUGUUUGCGAUAUACAGUAAGCGGCCAAGCGAAAGCAUUAAGUAUUCCACCUGGGAGUACGCCGGCAACGGUGAAACUCAAAGGAAUUGACGGGGGCCCGCACAAGCGGAGGAACAUGUGGUUUAAUUCGAUGAUACGCGAGGAACCUUACCCGAGCUUAAAUUGCAACUGACGUAGGUGGAAACAUCUAUUCCUUCGGGCAGUUGUGAAGGUGCUGCAUGGUUGUCGUCAGCUCGUGCCGUGAGGUGUCGGCUUAAGUGCCAUAACGAGCGCAACCCUUAUCUUUAGUUACUAACAGGUCAUGCUGAGGACUCUAGAGAGACUGCCGUCGUAAGAUGUGAGGAAGGUGGGGAUGACGUCAAAUCAGCACGGCCCUUACGUCCGGGGCUACACACGUGUUACAAUGGGGGGUACAGAAGGCAGCUACACAGCGAUGUGAUGCUAAUCCCAAAAACCUCUCUCAGUUCGGAUUGGAGUCUGCAACUCGACUCCAUGAAGCUGGAUUCGCUAGUAAUCGCGCAUCAGCCACGGCGCGGUGAAUACGUUCCCGGGCCU